GGAUGACGAAGCUCCUGGCAGCCGCCUCUUCAGGUCCCUGGUGUUCCUCUCCUCGUGGAGGCGUUUGGCCCUCGGGAGCUUCCGUCGCGGGCCCAGCGGAGUCACUUUGAGCUCUGCUGCAUCCUGUCCAAGAACUUGAGCACAUGAACCCUAUUGCAGAAGGAGGAAAGACAAGAGGGCUGGGGAUGACAGCACUGUGAAGAUACAAAAGAGAGGAGCCUAAUUCAAGCAGCUAUUGUAACCAUGGGAGGAACAAGAGCAGAGAGACUUAGAAAAGACAAGGAAAUUAAAACUGUAGAAAGAGAGCAGAACCAGGCACUUACGAAUCACCUCUUCAGAAUUGUAGUAAACAGUUCCAAGUUCCCAUACACAUCUACAGCUUUUUAUAGACUUCGUAGCUUGCUACAACAGUGGCUGCUGUGUGGUGUCCUAUGCAGGGCCAGGCACUGUUCAUUGGCCUAGCAGUAUCUCACCUAGAUACAAGUGCACAUGACUCUUGGAACACAAGUCCCUCUGCAAGUGCUUAAA
Long non-coding RNA from Gavialis gangeticus (Gharial), 528 nucleotides. RefSeq lists it as uncharacterized. The transcript is spliced from 2 exons. The record is from RefSeq and is a predicted model, not a curated record. NCBI's taxonomy places the organism in Eukaryota, Metazoa, Chordata, Crocodylia, Gavialidae.